Molecule: long non-coding RNA, 640 nt
Filed under: Marmota monax (woodchuck)
Lineage: Eukaryota; Metazoa; Chordata; Mammalia; Rodentia; Sciuridae
Source: RNAcentral
CUAGGAAGCAGAUGCUAGGAUGACCCCAUCAUGAAGAGGGAGACUGGGGAAGCCUUGAGAGACCUGAUGAUUUGUCCAGGGUCACAUGAGAGGACAGAAGGAGGAACUGGGUCUAGUCCCAGGUCUGUCUCCUCAGAGCAGGAACCCUGCUGCACCCGAGCCUGUCAAGAGAUGUGGGGGACAGUGUUGGGGUUCCUGUGGACACAUAUGGAAAUGGCAUGGGGCUGGAGGAGAGCCAACAGUAGCCCAGAGGCAGAUAUUAUUUUAUCUGGAGGAGGGGUCAGGUGAGGGACCGCCCCCUGACUUCCUGUCCUUCCUUCCAAACAGAACUUGGAACCCUGUAACCAGGCACCCACAUUCUAGCAACAGCCUCCUCCUUUGACCAAGAAUUAUGUUCUGCUUCUUACCUAGAGGCCAAGGCUCUAGGAGGUCCCACAGCCAGAGCUCCCUCUCUGGCUGAAUGGCCCCUUCUUCAGGCCCCAGCCCCAGGAUUCCCCACAGGCAGAACCUGUUACAAAGAAUGGAAUACUGGUUGAACUCCCACUCCUAUCACUGUUGCCCACGUGCCAAGAGACAAUCAAGGCCUAAACCUCACAGCCCAGGCCAACUGAACACAAGAGAAUCCGCCACUGUGAGUAAC